CUGGUUGCAGAUCUUCUGUUGGACAUAUGGGAAGUUCCAGGGGGCAGAGUACUGCGGGCUCUGUACCCUAUUUUGCUGACAGAACCCGCCAUCUAUCUUGUCCUAGUGGCGGCCGACACGCACAACCCAGAGGUCGAGGUCAUAGACAUAUGUAGGAACAUUUUGUAUAAGAUUUAUAAACCAAAUAUCAUAGUGAUACUUACGAAAACAAACUCAACAGCCUGUAAAAACAUUAACAUCGGUAACCUGUGCCGUCGUGUGAAGGAUAAGUGGAACGAGGUCGUCGCUCAGUGUUGCCAUGGGGACACGCCUGA
Molecule: long non-coding RNA, 314 nt
Organism: Mizuhopecten yessoensis (Yesso scallop)
Lineage: Eukaryota; Metazoa; Mollusca; Bivalvia; Pectinida; Pectinidae
Exons: 3
Source: RefSeq, a predicted model, not a curated record